CCUACGGCGGCUGCAGUGGGGAAUAUUGGACAAUGGGCGAAAGCCUGAUCCAGCCAUGCCGCGUGUGUGAAGAAGGCCUUCGGGUUGUAAAGCACUUUCAGUGGGGAAGAAAGCCUUGGGGCUAAUACCCUCGAGGAAGGACAUCACCCACAGAAGAAGCACCGGCUAACUCCGUGCCAGCAGCCGCGGUAAUACGGAGGGUGCGAGCGUUAAUCGGAAUUACUGGGCGUAAAGCGCGCGUAGGCGGUCUGAUAAGCCGGUUGUGAAAGCCCCGGGCUCAACCUGGGAACGGCAUCCGGAACUGUCAGGCUAGAGUGCAGGAGAGGAAGGUAGAAUUCCCGGUGUAGCGGUGAAAUGCGUAGAGAUCGGGAGGAAUACCAGUGGCGAAGGCGGCCUUCUGGACUGACACUGACGCUGAGGUGCGAAAGCGUGGGUAGCAAACAGGAUUAGAUACCCUAGUAGUC
This 464-nucleotide ribosomal RNA is filed under the name Vreelandella stevensii. Its description in RNAcentral is "partial 16S ribosomal RNA". It matches the Rfam family "Bacterial small subunit ribosomal RNA", at positions 338 to 795 of the family's 1533-position model. Lineage: Bacteria; Pseudomonadati; Pseudomonadota; Gammaproteobacteria; Oceanospirillales; Halomonadaceae. The record is from RNAcentral.